GGAGACGUGGCAGAGCGGCCGAAUGCACUGGUCUUGAAAACCAGCGACGGGCAACCGUCCGCGGGUUCAAAUCCCGCCGUCUCCG
Molecule: transfer RNA, 85 nt
Filed under: Corynebacterium uberis
Lineage: Bacteria; Bacillati; Actinomycetota; Actinomycetes; Mycobacteriales; Corynebacteriaceae
Also listed under: 1 other name
Description: tRNA-Ser
Rfam family: tRNA
About the family: Transfer RNA (tRNA) molecules are approximately 80 nucleotides in length. Their secondary structure includes four short double-helical elements and three loops (D, anti-codon, and T loops).
Source: RNAcentral